CAGCGAGUAAACCACGUGGGCCGGCAUUUAAGGCCAUCCUUGUUAUAACCGUCUGGACACUCGCAUUUAAAACUACCUUAUUUAGUGUCAAAUUCGUCGAAAAUGAAGCCGGCACCACAUCGACAAAGGAAGGAUCCUACCGUGUUGGAGCAAGUACUAUGCUGGCCUUUACAUUUUGCAGUUUCCGCGCAUUCAUCGAUGUCUGAUAUGUCAAUAAAAAUGAAAUAUUG
This is a long non-coding RNA of Pocillopora damicornis (cauliflower coral), 230 nucleotides long. The record is from RefSeq and is a predicted model, not a curated record. NCBI's taxonomy places the organism in Eukaryota, Metazoa, Cnidaria, Anthozoa, Scleractinia, Pocilloporidae.